Molecule: regulatory RNA element, 84 nt
Organism: Pseudomonas knackmussii B13
Lineage: Bacteria; Pseudomonadati; Pseudomonadota; Gammaproteobacteria; Pseudomonadales; Pseudomonadaceae
Rfam family: gyrA RNA
Source: Rfam
UUGUGAGUCGGUGGCGUUCUGAUAGCGCCGCCGCACUCCGCCGGGCUCGGGAUGGGCGAGGCGGAGGUCCACCUGAAAAAGGAA